AUACGUAGGGUGCAAGCGUUAAUCGGAAUUACUGGGCGUAAAGCGUGCGCAGGCGGUUUUGUAAGACAGUGGUGAAAUCCCCGGGCUCAACCUGGGAACUGCCAUUGUGACUGCAAGGCUGGAGUGCGGCAGAGGGGGAUGGAAUUCCGCGUGUAGCAGUGGAAUGCGUAGAUAUGCGGAGGAACACCGGUGGCGAAGGCAAUCCCCUGGGCCUGCACUGGCGCUCAUGCACGAAAGCGUGGGGAGCAAACAGGAUUAGAUACCCGGGUAGUCCACGCCCUAAACGAUGUCAACUGGUUGUUGGGGAUUUAUUUUCUCAGUAACGAAGCUAACGCGUGAAGUUGACCGCCUGGGGAGUACGGCCGCAAGGUUAAAACUCAAAUGAAUUGACGGGU
RNAcentral lists this ribosomal RNA (395 nucleotides) under uncultured bacterium. RNAcentral's name for it is "partial 16S ribosomal RNA". It matches the Rfam family "Bacterial small subunit ribosomal RNA", at positions 523 to 918 of the family's 1533-position model. The record is from RNAcentral.